RNAcentral lists this ribosomal RNA (379 nucleotides) under uncultured eukaryote. RNAcentral's name for it is "partial 18S ribosomal RNA". It matches the Rfam family "Eukaryotic small subunit ribosomal RNA", at positions 592 to 976 of the family's 1831-position model. The record is from RNAcentral.
CAAUAGCGUAUAUUAAAGUUGUUGCAGUUAGAACGCUCGUAGUCGGAUUUCGGGGCGGGUCGACCGGUCUGCCGAUGGGUACGCACUGGCCGACGCGUCCUUUUUGCCGGAGACCGUCCCUACUCUUAACUGAGCGGGGUCGGGAGACGGCACUUUACUUUGAAAAAAUCAGAGUGUUUCAAGCAGGCAGCUCGCUCUUGCAUGGAUUAGCAUGGGAUAAUGAAAUAGGACUUUGGUGCUAUUUUGUUGGUUUCGAACACCGAAGUAAUGAUGAGAAGGGACAGUCAGGGGCACUCGUAUUCCGCCGAGAGAGGUGAAAUUCUCAGACCAGCGGAAGACGAACCACUGCGAAAGCAUUUGCCAGGGAUGUUUUCACUGA